GGACACGCCAUACGUAAUAGUUUUUACCUCGCGUUUAAUAUAAGUCAUUUACUGACCUCAUCUCUGCUGAUUCUUGGUACCAUUAAGGAACGCCAUCUACUUCUGUUUCCCUGGCUAAUCAACAGAGGAUUAGUCCUUUUCGGAAGCGCAUUUUUGACAAACUAUUAUAUGAAAGCAAAUGAUAGUCUCUCCAACCUGCAAUGCCUGGUCUUUAUCUCAUUCAACUGUUUUCUCAUCUCUGGGAUCUACUCGCUUUUAAAUGAUAUUAAGAAAUCUAAUGAACUUGAACUUCAGCGGCUUCGUUUGGAUACGCCAGAUAACAUCGAGGACAAAUCUCUUUUGACCAAGUUAGACUGGAAUUCUUAUGUAUAUCAUAUAUAUAUACAUAUCUUUGUAUGAUGUGAACUUUCCCGAUAAUGAAGAUACUGAUAAUUUAUUGAAAAGAUCAUAAUUACUUUUAUGUUGUUAAAAAACAUCCCCAUUAUUAAUUUUAAACUUUUUCGACAUUGAAUGUGCUGGAAA
This is a non-coding RNA of Drosophila suzukii, 522 nucleotides long. The record is from RefSeq and is a predicted model, not a curated record. NCBI's taxonomy places the organism in Eukaryota, Metazoa, Arthropoda, Insecta, Diptera, Drosophilidae.